This 1555-nucleotide ribosomal RNA is filed under the name Staphylococcus aureus. Its description in RNAcentral is "small subunit ribosomal RNA". It matches the Rfam family "Bacterial small subunit ribosomal RNA". The record is from RNAcentral. Lineage: Bacteria; Bacillati; Bacillota; Bacilli; Caryophanales; Staphylococcaceae.
UUUUAUGGAGAGUUUGAUCCUGGCUCAGGAUGAACGCUGGCGGCGUGCCUAAUACAUGCAAGUCGAGCGAACGGACGAGAAGCUUGCUUCUCUGAUGUUAGCGGCGGACGGGUGAGUAACACGUGGAUAACCUACCUAUAAGACUGGGAUAACUUCGGGAAACCGGAGCUAAUACCGGAUAAUAUUUUGAACCGCAUGGUUCAAAAGUGAAAGACGGUCUUGCUGUCACUUAUAGAUGGAUCCGCGCUGCAUUAGCUAGUUGGUAAGGUAACGGCUUACCAAGGCAACGAUGCAUAGCCGACCUGAGAGGGUGAUCGGCCACACUGGAACUGAGACACGGUCCAGACUCCUACGGGAGGCAGCAGUAGGGAAUCUUCCGCAAUGGGCGAAAGCCUGACGGAGCAACGCCGCGUGAGUGAUGAAGGUCUUCGGAUCGUAAAACUCUGUUAUUAGGGAAGAACAUAUGUGUAAGUAACUGUGCACAUCUUGACGGUACCUAAUCAGAAAGCCACGGCUAACUACGUGCCAGCAGCCGCGGUAAUACGUAGGUGGCAAGCGUUAUCCGGAAUUAUUGGGCGUAAAGCGCGCGUAGGCGGUUUUUUAAGUCUGAUGUGAAAGCCCACGGCUCAACCGUGGAGGGUCAUUGGAAACUGGAAAACUUGAGUGCAGAAGAGGAAAGUGGAAUUCCAUGUGUAGCGGUGAAAUGCGCAGAGAUAUGGAGGAACACCAGUGGCGAAGGCGACUUUCUGGUCUGUAACUGACGCUGAUGUGCGAAAGCGUGGGGAUCAAACAGGAUUAGAUACCCUGGUAGUCCACGCCGUAAACGAUGAGUGCUAAGUGUUAGGGGGUUUCCGCCCCUUAGUGCUGCAGCUAACGCAUUAAGCACUCCGCCUGGGGAGUACGACCGCAAGGUUGAAACUCAAAGGAAUUGACGGGGACCCGCACAAGCGGUGGAGCAUGUGGUUUAAUUCGAAGCAACGCGAAGAACCUUACCAAAUCUUGACAUCCUUUGACAACUCUAGAGAUAGAGCUUUCCCCUUCGGGGGACAAAGUGACAGGUGGUGCAUGGUUGUCGUCAGCUCGUGUCGUGAGAUGUUGGGUUAAGUCCCGCAACGAGCGCAACCCUUAAGCUUAGUUGCCAUCAUUAAGUUGGGCACUCUAAGUUGACUGCCGGUGACAAACCGGAGGAAGGUGGGGAUGACGUCAAAUCAUCAUGCCCCUUAUGAUUUGGGCUACACACGUGCUACAAUGGAUAAUACAAAGGGCAGCGAAACCGCGAGGUCAAGCAAAUCCCAUAAAGUUGUUCUCAGUUCGGAUUGUAGUCUGCAACUCGACUACAUGAAGCUGGAAUCGCUAGUAAUCGUAGAUCAGCAUGCUACGGUGAAUACGUUCCCGGGUCUUGUACACACCGCCCGUCACACCACGAGAGUUUGUAACACCCGAAGCCGGUGGAGUAACCUUUUAGGAGCUAGCCGUCGAAGGUGGGACAAAUGAUUGGGGUGAAGUCGUAACAAGGUAGCCGUAUCGGAAGGUGCGGCUGGAUCACCUCCUUUCU